Molecule: ribosomal RNA, 1772 nt
Filed under: Escherichia coli
Lineage: Bacteria; Pseudomonadati; Pseudomonadota; Gammaproteobacteria; Enterobacterales; Enterobacteriaceae
Description: partial 23S ribosomal RNA
Rfam family: Bacterial large subunit ribosomal RNA
Source: RNAcentral
AGACCCGAAACCCGGUGAUCUAGCCAUGGGCAGGUUGAAGGUUGGGUAACACUAACUGGAGGACCGAACCGACUAAUGUUGAAAAAUUAGCGGAUGACUUGUGGCUGGGGGUGAAAGGCCAAUCAAACCGGGAGAUAGCUGGUUCUCCCCGAAAGCUAUUUAGGUAGCGCCUCGUGAAUUCAUCUCCGGGGGUAGAGCACUGUUUCGGCAAGGGGGUCAUCCCGACUUACCAACCCGAUGCAAACUGCGAAUACCGGAGAAUGUUAUCACGGGAGACACACGGCGGGUGCUAACGUCCGUCGUGAAGAGGGAAACAACCCAGACCGCCAGCUAAGGUCCCAAAGUCAUGGUUAAGUGGGAAACGAUGUGGGAAGGCCCAGACAGCCAGGAUGUUGGCUUAGAAGCAGCCAUCAUUUAAAGAAAGCGUAAUAGCUCACUGGUCGAGUCGGCCUGCGCGGAAGAUGUAACGGGGCUAAACCAUGCACCGAAGCUGCGGCAGCGACACUGUGUGUUGUUGGGUAGGGGAGCGUUCUGUAAGCCUGUGAAGGUGUGCUGUGAGGCAUGCUGGAGGUAUCAGAAGUGCGAAUGCUGACAUAAGUAACGAUAAAGCGGGUGAAAAGCCCGCUCGCCGGAAGACCAAGGGUUCCUGUCCAACGUUAAUCGGGGCAGGGUGAGUCGACCCCUAAGGCGAGGCCGAAAGGCGUAGUCGAUGGGAAACAGGUUAAUAUUCCUGUACUUGGUGUUACUGCGAAGGGGGGACGGAGAAGGCUAUGUUGGCCGGGCGACGGUUGUCCCGGUUUAAGCGUGUAGGCUGGUUUUCCAGGCAAAUCCGGAAAAUCAAGGCUGAGGCGUGAUGACGAGGCACUACGGUGCUGAAGCAACAAAUGCCCUGCUUCCAGGAAAAGCCUCUAAGCAUCAGGUAACAUCAAAUCGUACCCCAAACCGACACAGGUGGUCAGGUAGAGAAUACCAAGGCGCUUGAGAGAACUCGGGUGAAGGAACUAGGCAAAAUGGUGCCGUAACUUCGGGAGAAGGCACGCUGAUAUGUAGGUGAAGUCCCUCGCGGAUGGAGCUGAAAUCAGUCGAAGAUACCAGCUGGCUGCAACUGUUUAUUAAAAACACAGCACUGUGCAAACACGAAAGUGGACGUAUACGGUGUGACGCCUGCCCGGUGCCGGAAGGUUAAUUGAUGGGGUCAGCGCAAGCGAAGCUCUUGAUCGAAGCCCCGGUAAACGGCGGCCGUAACUAUAACGGUCCUAAGGUAGCGAAAUUCCUUGUCGGGUAAGUUCCGACCUGCACGAAUGGCGUAAUGAUGGCCAGGCUGUCUCCACCCGAGACUCAGUGAAAUUGAACUCGCUGUGAAGAUGCAGUGUACCCGCGGCAAGACGGAAAGACCCCGUGAACCUUUACUAUAGCUUGACACUGAACAUUGAGCCUUGAUGUGUAGGAUAGGUGGGAGGCUUUGAAGUGUGGACGCCAGUCUGCAUGGAGCCGACCUUGAAAUACCACCCUUUAAUGUUUGAUGUUCUAACGUGGACCCGUGAUCCGGGUUGCGGACAGUGUCUGGUGGGUAGUUUGACUGGGGCGGUCUCCUCCUAAAGAGUAACGGAGGAGCACGAAGGUUGGCUAAUCCUGGUCGGACAUCAGGAGGUUAGUGCAAUGGCAUAAGCCAGCUUGACUGCGAGCGUGACGGCGCGAGCAGGUGCGAAAGCAGGUCAUAGUGAUCCGGUGGUUCUGAAUGGAAGGGCCAUCGCUCAACGGAUAAAAGGUAC